This 281-nucleotide ribosomal RNA is filed under the name uncultured bacterium. RNAcentral's name for it is "partial 16S ribosomal RNA". It matches the Rfam family "Bacterial small subunit ribosomal RNA", at positions 337 to 636 of the family's 1533-position model. The record is from RNAcentral.
GCCUACGGGAGGCAGCAGUGGGGGAUAUUGCACAAUGGGGGGAACCCUGAUGCAGCGACGCCGCGUGGGUGAAGAAGCGCCUCGGCGCGUAAAGCCCUGUCAGCAGGGAAGAUAAUGACGGUACCUGCAGAAGAAGCCCCGGCUAACUACGUGCCAGCAGCCGCGGUAAUACGUAGGGGGCAAGCGUUAUCCGGAUUCAUUGGGCGUAAAGCGCGCGCAGGCGGGCCGCUAAGCGGGACCUCUAAUCUUGGGGCUCAACCUCAAGCCGGGUCCCGGACUGG